Molecule: long non-coding RNA, 1562 nt
Filed under: Anser brachyrhynchus (Pink-footed goose)
Lineage: Eukaryota; Metazoa; Chordata; Aves; Anseriformes; Anatidae
Description: lncRNA (ENSABRG00000010341.1)
Source: RNAcentral
AUGCAUUUCCAUUUUGAUUAUAUGCUCGGGAAGGCAUGUGGCAGCACAUCCCUGGCCUCAGAUAACAGGGGCAGCACAGCUCGUGAGGAGGAGCGCUUGGCGGCAAAGCAUUGGCAGGGCAGAGGGACAGCGGUGAGGGCUGCUCCCAGCCCCAAGCCCUCACCAACCAGCCCUGAGUCAUGCUCUGACAAAUGUCAAGACCUCUUUCUCACGUUGCCAUCUCAUUUCGGCACCAAGGGUGGUCAGAAAAUGAAGCUAGAGCUGCAAGGGCUGGCAGAAGGCACCGUGGUGGUGAGCUUGAUGCUUCUCCAGGGCCCUGCCCGAGGCGCUCGCAGAGCGAUGCUCGCUGGCCAGCUGGCUGCCCACAGCCAGAGAGUUUCCCAGAAAUGGAGACCUCAGUGCUCCCCGCAGCAGCCUCCCCACCAUACUUGUGCUGAGGCAGUCGCAUCUUCUCAGUGCUGUGGUCGGGAGGCAUGCGUGGGCUCGUGCGGGUCGGUGACACAUGGAAACGUGCUGCUGCGAACCUCGGAGCUGCUGCUGUUCCUCAUGAUGCCCAUCUCGGCGAGGGAGCUCUGCAGAUCACAGAAGCUCAGCAGUCCUUCCUGUCCCAGCCUCAUCGAUCCGAUGCAGCGGCUAUGGAAGAAGAGCAGGGAGGCACAGGAGAGCCUGCACAUCGCAGCAAAACUCUGGUUACCUGGUACAGAUCAGCCCCUCCUUGCUUCUGGCAAGCAGAUUUGUUGCUAUUUUGCAAACCAAACAGCAGGUCCAGCCCCUGGGGAGCUGCUGCUGGAUCACACAGCAGGUUGUCCCCGAGCCCAGCAUACCCUCCUUGCUGACCCACUGCCUCCACUGCUUGUCUGCAUCAUGGGGAAAAAGGAGACAGGACUAAAGCUUCCCCCCUACCAGUUUCCUUCAUGGCCCCUAAGGCUCACAGUCUGCUUUCUGCAAGCAGACAGGUUGUGAUUUCCUGCUAUUCUCAUGGGAACCAGGGCCUAAAGGGAAUACACCAGCUGGCGAGUGCCCAGCCCGUGGCACUUUUGUCCCCACGAGGUCUCCAGCAGCUUCAGCUCAGUGGCGGUGACUGCAAUGCACCCAGGUGGGCUUUGCAGGUCUCUUUCCUCCGCAGUGCAGUCAGCGGGGUGCAGAGCAAGUGGACAGGAUGGGGGUGGCCUGGCAGGUGGUGGGGAGAGGCACACGAGCCCCAGCUCAGCACCCCCAGGCAUGCUUUCUUUGGAUAAACUCAGUGCUGUGUGGGUCAGCCCCUUCCCUCCACCCUGCCCUGCAGCACCUGCCUGUUUGGAUGCUGGUUGGAUGCAGGUCACUUUACAGAGGUGCCAGCCAGAUGCCUUAAGACUGAGGGAAAGCCAAGACAAAGCCAAAAUAAUGCAGCUGGCUGCUUUAAUUUGCAGGAAGAGCCAGGCAGCAGCAGACUGGUUCACGGGCGAAUCUUUCCUGCUGUAUCAAGCAUAAAUUAAUCAGGUAUUCCAUUUCCUGAGGGAAGAAAAAAAAGAGCAGAAUAAUUCACUUAGAAAUAAAGACUAGAGCCAUUUUUCCCUUUGACA